Molecule: small nucleolar RNA, 107 nt
Organism: Humulus lupulus (European hop)
Lineage: Eukaryota; Viridiplantae; Streptophyta; Magnoliopsida; Rosales; Cannabaceae
Source: RefSeq, a predicted model, not a curated record
AUGUUGUAAUGAUGACAAAUUCUCAACAGUUCCUUGAACCUCUCCCAAGAGUCAUAUAAAGAUUCCCUCUCAAGCUGGUAAAAAUUAUUGAUCUCCCCUCUUAAUUU